Molecule: long non-coding RNA, 437 nt
Organism: Bombus terrestris (buff-tailed bumblebee)
Lineage: Eukaryota; Metazoa; Arthropoda; Insecta; Hymenoptera; Apidae
Exons: 2
Source: RefSeq, a predicted model, not a curated record
GCGAAAGAGAGCGCGAUACUUCCUGGCGAUUCCGGUACUAUCUGUGCCCUUCAAUGUGGUCUUCAGAUCGCACAUAAGAACACGUAGUCUAUCUGUAUAAGUCUAUGAUUUCGACAGGAAAAUUUAUACAGACUCAUAAAACGAACGAAUGCUUUUUGUCAUUUUUAAUCAGUGCAUUAACACUUUUUAUCUGAUUUUUUGUAAACAAGACAAUGGAUUAAAAUUAGGACCGAUUUUUUCGAAAAUAAAUAGAUUCAUCGUUUAAUUAAUUAACAAUUUGUCAAAAUACAUAGUUAAGCAUAGAAAGUUAUAGUUUAAGCAGUUAUGGUUAAGCAUAGGAAACAUAAAGUAUGUGAAAGGGUUAAUUAUAUCACCAACACUCGUGUGUAAAGAUUAAAGAAAUUAAACAACAUUCUUUCUCUUGAAAAGAACACCAA